AACCUGCUGGUAUAGGUUUAAGAAAAACUAUGUGCCUAAUUUUGCAGGAAACAAAAGAAGUUCUUAUGUGGCUGAAGGUGCAGAAGCUAAAAGUGGAGGCUGGUAUCUUGACAGUGGUGCAACAGAUCAUGUUACUAAUGAUCUCAACAACUUAAGCAUAAGUUCUGAAUACAAAGGUAAUCAUCGGCUUGCAGUAGGUAAUGGUUCUAAGCUUGAAAUUGUUUAUGUUGGUUAUACAUUGCUUGGCACACUUGAACCUGAUAUUCAGAAACACAUUAAACUAAACCACAUUCUCUAUGUACCUCAAAUAACUAAAAAUCUUAUCAGCAUAUCAAAACUUUUGAAUGACAACAAUAUAUGCAUUGAGUUUAACAAAACAUGUUGUGUUGUUAAGGACAAGAGAAUGUUGAUUGUUCUCAUGAAAGGUGUGGCUAAAGAUGGACUGUACAAGCUGCUGAACUUGCCUCUAAAUCACUCUCAAGUCAAGUCUAUUCUGUUGUCUUCUGUUUCAUGUUCUAGUUUGUUUUCAGUUUGUAAAAUAAAUAAACCAGAGUCUAUGAUAUCAGUUGUUUCUAAAGAACUCUGUACAAGCUGUAAAGACCAAAGAAUCAACAAAACUCUUGAUCUUUGGCACAUGAGAUUAGGUCAUCCAAAUUCUUCUGAUCUUAGAAAAACCCUGUCAGCUUGUAAUAUCUCAUUUGGAAAUAAAAUGUCUGAGUUUUCCUUUUGCAAAGCUUGUCAAUAUGGAAAAAUGCAUAGAUUAUCUUUUAAAGGUAGUGAGUCAAAAUCUUCUACUGCCCUUGAGAUCAUACACAUUGAUCUUUGG
This 826-nucleotide long non-coding RNA is filed under the name Citrus maxima (pomelo). RNAcentral describes it as "long non-coding RNA (CMAX_LNC003539)". The record is from RNAcentral. Lineage: Eukaryota; Viridiplantae; Streptophyta; Magnoliopsida; Sapindales; Rutaceae.